Molecule: ribosomal RNA, 2188 nt
Filed under: Listeria monocytogenes
Lineage: Bacteria; Bacillati; Bacillota; Bacilli; Caryophanales; Listeriaceae
Description: partial 23S ribosomal RNA
Rfam family: Bacterial large subunit ribosomal RNA
Source: RNAcentral
UUGGUUAAGUUAGAAAGGGCGCACGGUGGAUGCCUUGGCACUAGGAGCCGAAGAAGGACGGGACUAACACCGAUAUGCUUUGGGGAGCUGUACGUAAGCGUUGAUCCAGAGAUUUCCGAAUGGGGGAACCCACUAUCUUUAGUCGGAUAGUAUCCUUACGUGAAUACAUAGCGUGAGGAAGGCAGACCCAGGGAACUGAAACAUCUAAGUACCUGGAGGAAGAGAAAGAAAAAUCGAUUUCCUGAGUAGCGGCGAGCGAAACGGAAAGAGCCCAAACCAAGAAGCUUGCUUCUUGGGGUUGUAGGACACUCUAUACGGAGUUACAAAAGAAAGUUAUAAAUGAAGCGGUCUGGAAAGGCCCGCCAAAGACGGUAACAGCCCGGUAGUUGAAAUGGCUUUCCCUCCAGAGUGGAUCCUGAGUACGGCGGAACACGUGAAAUUCCGUCGGAAUCCGGGAGGACCAUCUCCCAAGGCUAAAUACUCCCUAGUGACCGAUAGUGAACCAGUACCGUGAGGGAAAGGUGAAAAGCACCCCGGAAGGGGAGUGAAACAGUUCCUGAAACCGUGUGCCUACAAGUAGUUAGAGCCCGUUAAUGGGUGAUAGCGUGCCUUUUGUAGAAUGAACCGGCGAGUUACGAUUUGUUGCAAGGUUAAGCGGAAAAAGCGGAGCCGUAGCGAAAGCGAGUCUGAAUAGGGCGCAUAAGUAACAGGUCGUAGACCCGAAACCAGGUGAUCUACCCAUGUCCAGGAUGAAGGUAAGGUAAUACUUACUGGAGGUCCGAACCCACGCACGUUGAAAAGUGCGGGGAUGAGGUGUGGGUAGCGGAGAAAUUCCAAUCGAACUUGGAGAUAGCUGGUUCUCUCCGAAAUAGCUUUAGGGCUAGCCUCGAGGUAAAGAGUCAUGGAGGUAGAGCACUGUUUGGACUAGGGGCCCUUCUCGGGUUACCGAAUUCAGAUAAACUCCGAAUGCCAUGUACUUAUACUCGGGAGUCAGACUGCGAGUGAUAAGAUCCGUAGUCGAAAGGGAAACAGCCCAGACCACCAGUUAAGGUCCCCAAAUAUAUGUUAAGUGGAAAAGGAUGUGGGGUUGCUUAGACAACCAGGAUGUUGGCUUAGAAGCAGCCACCAUUGAAAGAGUGCGUAAUAGCUCACUGGUCGAGUGACCCCGCGCCGAAAAUGUACCGGGGCUAAACAUAUUACCGAAACUGUGGAUGAACCUCUUUAGAGGUUCGUGGUAGGAGAGCGUUCUAAGGGCGGUGAAGUCAGACCGGAAGGACUGGUGGAGCGCUUAGAAGUGAGAAUGCCGGUAUGAGUAGCGAAAGAAGGGUGAGAAUCCCUUCCACCGAAUAUCUAAGGUUUCCUGAGGAAGGCUCGUCCGCUCAGGGUUAGUCGGGACCUAAGCCGAGGCCGAUAGGCGUAGGCGAUGGACAACAGGUAGAGAUUCCUGUACCAGUGCUAAUUGUUUAACCGAUGGGGUGACACAGAAGGAUAGGGAAUCGCACGAAUGGAAAUGUGCGUCCAAGCAGUGAGUGUGAGAAGUAGGCAAAUCCGCUUCUCGCGAAGCAUGAGCUGUGAUGGGGAAGGAAAUUAAGUACGGAAGUUCCUGAUUUCACGCUGUCAAGAAAAGCCUCUAGGAAGAGUAGUACUGCCCGUACCGCAAACCGACACAGGUAGAUGAGGAGAGAAUCCUAAGGUGAGCGAGAGAACUCUCGUUAAGGAACUCGGCAAAAUGACCCCGUAACUUCGGGAGAAGGGGUGCUCUAUUAGGGUGCAAGCCCGAGAGAGCCGCAGUGAAUAGGCCCAGGCGACUGUUUAGCAAAAACACAGGUCUCUGCAAAACCGUAAGGUGACGUAUAGGGGCUGACGCCUGCCCGGUGCUGGAAGGUUAAGAGGAGUGCUUAGCUUCGGCGAAGGUACGAAUUGAAGCCCCAGUAAACGGCGGCCGUAACUAUAACGGUCCUAAGGUAGCGAAAUUCCUUGUCGGGUAAGUUCCGACCCGCACGAAAGGCGCAACGAUCUGGGCACUGUCUCAACGAGAGACUCGGUGAAAUUAUAGUACCUGUGAAGAUGCAGGUUACCCGCGACAGGACGGAAAGACCCCGUGGAGCUUUACUGCAACCUGAUAUGGAAUGUUUGUACCGCUUGUACAGGAUAGGUAGGAGCCGAAGAGACGUGUGCGCUAGCAUAC